RNAcentral lists this long non-coding RNA (3754 nucleotides) under Sus scrofa (pig). Its description in RNAcentral is "lncRNA (ENSSSCG00060062152.1)". The record is from RNAcentral. Lineage: Eukaryota; Metazoa; Chordata; Mammalia; Artiodactyla; Suidae.
UUUUUUUUUUUAGGGCUGCACCUGUGGCAUAUGGAAGUUCCCAAGGUAGGGGUUGAAUUGGAGCUGCAGCUGAGGCCUACACCACAGCCACAGACACACCAGAUCUGAGCCACAACCUAUGCUGCAACUUUCAGUAACUCCAGCUCCUUAACCCACUGAGUGAGGCCAGGGAUCGAACCUGCAUCCUCACUGAGACUACACUGGGUUCUUAACCUGCUGAGCCACAAUAAGAACUCUUGAGCUGAGUACUUUUAAGUGCCAUCUCUUUUCAUCUUCAGUGGCGUGUUAUCAUUCCUACUGAACAGAUGAGAGAAUGGAGACUGAGAAAAUAAAGUCCUACAUCAUUUAGUCUUAAUCAUUCACAUUUUUUGUUUCCAUGCCAUUUGUCAUCAGACUCCCUCACCUCUGGACACAGCUAUGUGAUGGGUUUGCACCAGAGGAAUGUCAACAAACGUGGUACAAACAGAAGGUGGACAGUGUCCACGAAAAAGACAUCCCAGGCUAGGCGCAGAUCCCAGGAGGAUGAGCAUCAGGCAGUGUGUGCAUACAAUAAAUUUUCAAGAUCCCAGUUCCUCAAGAGUAGAACCAGAACUUGACACAGGUCUUCCCAAUCUAAAUUUCAAGUUUUCUACUCUAGACAGCUCUGAAAGCAGGUCAUGUCAAGUGAUGGAAAUUAUGACCAUUCAAAUAUCUGCAGGCCUCCACAUCGAGAGCUGAGCUUCAGGCUGCACACACUAGCACUUUUGUGUUACUGAACAUCACACACCAGAACCUACAACAUUUCAUUCUCAAUGCUUUUUUUUCCUCCACUAUUUUCAUUCUAAAACUGCGGAAGCCUGGGGGAGAGUGGGUGUUAGGUUCUAAGUCGUGGUUGAUCAGUCAUCUUGUCUUUAUGAUCUUUCAGCUGCUCUGUCCCAUUUUCUAAUGAACAGCAAUUGCCGGAAGUUAUCAGCAAUCAGUAUGGCAGAUAAUUGGACUCUAGCCCUGGGAGACAUCUUCCUUCAGCAGUUCUUGUCUUUAUGAAAAACUGUGCCACACAGUGGGAGAAAGAAAGCUGCUUUCUUUCAUUCGCAUGCACACUUUAAUUGGAAAUGGGUUUCUGCCUACCCGUGUGUUGGAUGACAACAACAACAAAAAAGGAUAAAGAACAGAGUGACAUUACUUUGCAAAGUGUGCCAAAAGAGGCAUUUACAUUUCUUUCUGUUUUUCCUUCUUUUCUUUAAGGUUUUUUGGUUUAAGUGCUUUUGUUAGGAGGGAGGAAACCAACAGCUGCUGUGGCCUCAGACCAUUACUCUGGUGCUUGCUUAGAAGACCUCUGGGAGCGGAGAUAAGGAAAGAGUUGAAGUCAACAUUCGGGUGCAAGGCACCGAGAAAACUGCUGGCACUUUCCUUCCUUCUGAUUCCCGAGGAAGCAGAGCCAGCUGAACGUUCCUUUAACCCUCUCCUACCUCCUCCUUGCAAAGAAGGCACUCAUUAGGACUUUUAAGGCCUCUUAUUUCCAAGCUCCAAAAUAAGGCUUUGUGCUGGAGGAUAUGAAAUAGGGGAAACACGUUCUCUUGAGAUUUCUCUCAAGAAAGAAGGAAGGUCAGGAUCAGGAAGGCCAAGUUCAGGAAGGCCAGGUCUUAGAUCGCUUUCAAAAAUCAAAACCUAGGAGUUACCAUCGUGGUUCAUCAGGCUAAGGACUUAACAUUGUUUCACUGAGGAUGUGGAUUCAGUUGUGGGCCUCCCUCAGGGGGCUGAGGAAUCAGUGUUGCCACAAACCGCAGCAUUGGUUGCAGAUAUGGCUUGGAUCCAGUGUUGCCAUGCUUCUGGUGUAGGCCUGCAGCUGCAGCUCCAAUUUGACCCCUAACUCAGGAGCUCCCAUAUGCCCUAGGUGAGACCAUUAAAAAAUAAAAAAUCAAAGCAAAACCUGGACAGGAAUGGGACAAAAAUGAGAGUGACCUGCAGAGAUGGGAAUCCUAGGAGUUUCUGCUUCUGAGAUUUCUUUGGACCCUCAAGCUGUGUAAGCAGAACAGGAACUUUUUUCUCCAAUGGGCCCAUCCUGCCCUCUGAGGGUGUGAAAAAAGCCCCAUUUUCUAUCCAAAAAGUGCCUCAUUAAUGACUGAGCUCAUCUAAGCUCAGUAUAGAGAUGCUGCAGGGUUCUCUCAAUCCAUUUGGGCUACUAUGAUAGAUGUACCACAGCUAGAGAGGCACAGAAAUGACUGAAAUUCAUUUCUCACAGUUCUGGAGGCUGAGGAGGCCAAGAUCAAAGUGCCAGGAGAUUCACUGUCUGGUGAAGACCCACUUCCUAGUUCACAGACUUGCCUUUUUGCUGUGUCCUCACAUGGAGGAAGGGACAAGGCAGCUCUGUGGGGUUUAUUUUCAAAGGGCGCUAAUCCCAUUCAUGAGGGCUCCACCCUCACGAACGAAUCUUUCUCCAGAGGCCCCACCUCCUAACACCAUCACCUUGGGGGUAGGUCUCAACGUACAAAGGUCAUGGGCAUCUGCGAACAUCCCAUCUAUAGGAAGAACUACUGUAUGUUAGGUCCAGCCAGCAGCUCUGUUCUGAGGUUAGUUACCAAGGUAAUGAAGACUGGUCAUGGCUCUUGAAGAAGUCCAAGGAUUGGAGAAGAAAAUCCUUCCAACCAUCAGAACUGUACUGAGGGAGAGCUUGCAAAGAGGGCUGGACAAUUCAAGUGGAGGCAAAGAUGGGGAAAGCACUGAUUUCUGGGGCCUCGUGAAGGAAGCCUUUAAGGAGGAGCUAUUCUUGGGGCCUGAAGGUCAGAGAGGAGGCCAUAUAAAGGAGACCACUAUGCUGGGGCUUAUGGUUUGCCAAGAUGGUGGGGUGGGUAUGGAGAAGGGUGGAGCUGAAGAGAGGAUUUCAGGCAGAGAAAUUCACACAUGAAAAUGAAAUAGAGGCAGAAAAUAACAUGAUGCUUGAAGACAAAGGUAAGAACACCAAGAUGUCCAAGAUGUGCAGAGUGCUGAUAAGUGAUCUCCAGGUUAUAUGAUCUCAGAUGCUCUUGUUCCUAGUUUAUAACUUACUUUGCACCUCACAUUAUUUGAAAAAAAUCUAUACACUUUGCACAAAGGAAAUAAUAGGUGUAAUUCACUUUAUACCUCCAGUGUUUCCUUGAAAAGUGGCAUGUUAAUUUAUUUAAAAUUCCGUAGGAACUUCUUUUAUAUUAUGAAUGCUCAGUCUGUUAAGUUAUUUAACGUGACACGUUGAAGUAUGCAUACCUGCACAGUAUGUGAUGGUCUCUUUAAUUACCAGUAGUGAGAGCACCUAAUAAUGGAAGGAUGCUGAGAACAUGACCUUUCAAACAAGAAAUGUGCCUCAAUGUGCAUUAUUUUAAUAGCUCUGAGAGGUUUUUCAGAUCAAUCCUGCAACUUAAAUUUCCUUGGCCAGUUUUGACCUGAGGCACAAAAGAAAAUAAUUGCUUAAUUCAAUUUCUUUCUGUGUCAAAAUCAUGGAAUUAAUGAUAGCUAUCGAUAAGCAUCUUUUCUCCCCAAACCUAGAAACACAUACUGGUUCACAAGCUGUGUCUGAACCUUCCUAUCUAUGUGCCUUAAAAGCGAAAUUAGGAGUUCCUGUCAUGGUGCAGCAGAAAUGAAUCUGAUUAGGAACCAUGAGGUUGCAGGUUCAAUCCCUGGCCUUACUCAGUGGGUUAAGGAUCCGGCAUUGCCGUGAGGUGUGGUGUAGGCCGGCUGCUACAGCUCUGAUUGACCCCUAGCCUGGGAACAUCCAUAUGCCUUGGGUGCGGCCCUAAAAGGC